RNAcentral lists this ribosomal RNA (273 nucleotides) under uncultured Achromobacter sp. RNAcentral describes it as "partial 16S ribosomal RNA". It matches the Rfam family "Bacterial small subunit ribosomal RNA", at positions 524 to 796 of the family's 1533-position model. The record is from RNAcentral. Lineage: Bacteria; Pseudomonadati; Pseudomonadota; Betaproteobacteria; Burkholderiales; Alcaligenaceae.
UACGUAGGGUGCAAGCGUUAAUCGGAAUUACUGGGCGUAAAGCGUGCGCAGGCGGUUCGGAAAGAAAGGUGUGAAAUCCCCGAGCUUAACUUGGGAACUGCACUUUUAACUACCGAGCUAGAGUGUGUCAGAGGGAGGUGGAAUUCCGCGUGUAGCAGUGAAAUGCGUAGAUAUGCGGAGGAACACCGAUGGCGAAGGCAGCCUCCUGGGAUAACACUGACGCUCAUGCACGAAAGCGUGGGGAGCAAACAGGAUUAGAAACCCUAGUAGUCC